This 250-nucleotide ribosomal RNA is filed under the name uncultured bacterium. RNAcentral describes it as "partial 16S ribosomal RNA". It matches the Rfam family "Bacterial small subunit ribosomal RNA", at positions 524 to 773 of the family's 1533-position model. The record is from RNAcentral.
UACGAAGGGGGCUAGCGUUGUUCGGAAUUACUGGGCGUAAAGCGCGCGCAGGCGGUUCGAUAAGUUAGGGGUGAAAUCCCCGGGCUCAACCCGGGAAUGGCCUUUAAGACUGUCGAGCUAGAGGACGAGAGAGGUGAGUGGAAUUCCCAGUGUAGAGGUGAAAUUCGUAGAUAUUGGGAAGAACACCGGUGGCGAAGGCGGCUCACUGGCUCGUAUCUGACGCUGAGGCGCGAAAGCGUGGGGAGCAAAC